GAAAUGCGAUAAGUAAUGCGAAUUGCAGAAUUUCCGUGAGUCAUCGAAUCUUUGAACGCACAUUGCGCCCACUGGUAUUCCGGUGGGCAUGCCUGUUCGAGCGUCAUUAUCCUCCCUCAAACCCCGGGUUUGGUGUUGGGCCUCAGGUUGUGCGAACAACCGGCCCCAAAGACAAUGACGGCGUCCGUGGGACCCUCGGUGCAACGAGCUUUCCGAAGCACGCGUCGAGGUUUCAACGUCCCUCCGGGCCGGUCUCCUUACACUCUUUUUUUUUACAAGGUUGACCUCGGAUCAGGUAGGAAUACCCGCUGAACUUAAGC
RNAcentral lists this unclassified non-coding RNA (320 nucleotides) under plant metagenome. Its description in RNAcentral is "partial contains 5.8S ribosomal RNA, internal transcribed spacer 2, and large subunit ribosomal RNA". The stretch from base 1 to 106 matches the Rfam family "5.8S ribosomal RNA", at positions 50 to 154 of the family's 154-position model. The record is from RNAcentral.